AUGAAACUAGAUACAGAUAUGAUUUUUUAAGGCAGUAGUAGAAAGAACAUAGAAUACAUACUUUCUAUGUAAGAUUUACAUGAAGAACCAUAAUUCUCAAUUGAUUUUCGAUUUCUCUACCAUCUGAUUGUACACAUAAUUCUUAUCAUUCAGCAAAAGUAAAAGAAAAUGUCUGAUUUUUCAUAACAUUAAGAAAAGAAAAAGCGUUAUAGCACUUUUGUUUUGAGUUUGAUAGAAAAAAUAUCAAAAGUUCCUCUGAACUACAUGCUAUAGUAACUAAGCUUC
RNAcentral lists this long non-coding RNA (285 nucleotides) under Bos taurus (domestic cattle). Its description in RNAcentral is "long non-coding RNA NONBTAT000232". Lineage: Eukaryota; Metazoa; Chordata; Mammalia; Artiodactyla; Bovidae. The record is from RNAcentral.